AUCGCUUCUCGGCCUUUUGGGCUAAGAUCAAAUGUGUAGUAUCUGUUUAAGCCAGCCGUAAAACGUGCGUGUUUCACGAAACUAUUAUCAUCACCAUUGGCUCGAGCGUCGCCGUCUUCUUCCGCAGCUGGCUCGUUGGGGACCCUCGGUUAGCGCUCGUACUCGUGCUCGGCACGCGCUCGUGCCACUGAUCCCGCGUU
Molecule: small nuclear RNA, 200 nt
Organism: Dermacentor silvarum
Lineage: Eukaryota; Metazoa; Arthropoda; Arachnida; Ixodida; Ixodidae
Product: U2 spliceosomal RNA
Exons: 1
Source: RefSeq, a predicted model, not a curated record